RNAcentral lists this ribosomal RNA (245 nucleotides) under uncultured bacterium. RNAcentral describes it as "partial 16S ribosomal RNA". It matches the Rfam family "Bacterial small subunit ribosomal RNA", at positions 524 to 768 of the family's 1533-position model. The record is from RNAcentral.
GACGAACCGUGCGAACGUUGUUCGGAAUCACUGGGCUUAAAGGGCGCGUAGGCGGACGAUUCAGUCGGUGGUGAAAUCUUUCGGCUCAACCGGAAAACUGCCUCCGAUACUAGUCGUCUGGAGUGAGGUAGGGGCAUGUGGAACUUCCGGUGGAGCGGUGAAAUGCGUAGAUAUCGGAAGGAACACCGGUGGCGAAGGCGACGUGCUGGACCUCAACUGACGCUGAGGCGCGAAAGCCAGGGGAG